AUUAAACGCUGGCGGCAUGCCUUACACAUGCAAGUCGAACGGCAGCACGGGGCAACCUGGUGGCGAGUGGCGAACGGGUGAGUAAAGCAUCGGAACGUGCCCUGGAGUGGGGGAUAACGUAGCGAAAGUUACGCUAAUACCGCAUAUUCUGUGAGCAGGAAAGCAGGGGAUCGCAAGACCUUGCGCUCUGGGAGCGGCCGAUGUCGGAUUAGCUAGUUGGUGGGGUAAAGGCCUACCAAGGCGACGAUCCGUAGCGGGUCUGAGAGGAUGAUCCGCCACACUGGGACUGAGACACGGCCCAGACUCCUACGGGAGGCAGCAGUGGGGAAUUUUGGACAAUGGGCGCAAGCCUGAUCCAGCCAUGCCGCGUGAGUGAAGAAGGCCUUCGGGUUGUAAAGCUCUUUUCGGCCGGGAAGAAAUCGCAUGGGUCAAUACCCUGUGUGGAUGACGGUACCGGAAUAAGAAGCACCGGCUAACUACGUG
Molecule: ribosomal RNA, 483 nt
Filed under: uncultured bacterium
Lineage: Bacteria
Description: bacterial SSU rRNA
Rfam family: Bacterial small subunit ribosomal RNA
Source: RNAcentral